RNAcentral lists this ribosomal RNA (498 nucleotides) under uncultured bacterium. Its description in RNAcentral is "partial 16S ribosomal RNA". It matches the Rfam family "Bacterial small subunit ribosomal RNA", at positions 28 to 507 of the family's 1533-position model. The record is from RNAcentral.
GACGAACGCUGGCGGCGUGCCUAAUACAUGCAAGUCGAGCGGACGGAUGGGAGCUUGCUCCCAGACCGUCAGCGGCGGACGGGUGAGUAACACGUGGGCAACCUGCCUGUAAGACUGGGAUAACUCCGGGAAACCGGGGCUAAUACCGGAUAACUCUUUCCCUCACAUGAGGGAAAGCUGAAAGAUGGCAUCUCGCUAUCACUUACAGAUGGGCCCGCGGCGCAUUAGCUAGUUGGUGAGGUAACGGCUCACCAAGGCGACGAUGCGUAGCCGACCUGAGAGGGUGAUCGGCCACACUGGGACUGAGACACGGCCCAGACUCCUACGGGAGGCAGCAGUAGGGAAUCUUCCGCAAUGGACGAAAGUCUGACGGAGCAACGCCGCGUGAGUGAUAAAGGUUUUCGGAUCGUAAAACUCUGUUGUCAGGGAAGAACAAGUACCGGAGUAACUGCCGGUACCUUGACGGUACCUGACCAGAAAGCCACGGCUAACUACGUG